Molecule: ribosomal RNA, 468 nt
Filed under: uncultured bacterium
Lineage: Bacteria
Description: partial 16S ribosomal RNA
Rfam family: Bacterial small subunit ribosomal RNA
Source: RNAcentral
GACGAACGCUGGCGGCGUGCUUAACACAUGCAAGUCGAACGGAAAGGCCCUGCUUUUGUGGGGUGCUCGAGUGGCGAACGGGUGAGUAACACGUGAGUAACCUGCCCUUGACUUUGGGAUAACUUCAGGAAACUGGGGCUAAUACCGGAUAGGAGCUCCUGCUGCAUGGUGGGGGUUGGAAAGUUUCGGCGGUGGGGGAUGGACGCGCGGCUUAUCAGCUUGUUGGUGGGGGAGUGGCUUACCAAGGCUUUGACGGGUAGCCGGCCUGAGAGGGUGACCGGCCACAUUGGGACUGAGAUACGGCCCAGACUCCUACGGGAGGCAGCAGUGGGGAAUAUUGCACAAUGGGCGGAAGCCUGAUGCAGCAACGCCGCGUGCGGGAUGACGGCCUUCGGGUUGUAAACCGCUUUCGCCUGUGACGAAGCGUGAGUGACGGUAAUGGGUAAAGAAGCACCGGCUAACUACGUG